AAAGCUUUUUAAGCUCAGAAGUUGUCAUCAACUUGUAAGCAGCGCAAGACAAGUGCGUGAAUGUCGCUAUGGGGGUAAAGAUGUCACUGAACACAUUUGCAAUCUCCGAAAACGGUUUACAGACUCUCUGUCCCUUAACUGUGACAUGUUUUGGGGACGUGACGAGAGGCAGCAGUGGUGACGGCGGACCCGUUCCGUAGGUCUGUCAAGGAAUGUCUUGAUGUUACUCAACCACCACUUGCCGCAUUUUAACACCCAGCUUGUCCUAAAUGUAGAAAGCCUGUGAUGUUUAGAGAAUGUGGAAGAAAUCAGCGAUAGGUAAGGUAAACUCGUGCUUUAUCAUUCAACCCAGCAAAGAUAGAUCUCGGUAACCCAUUGCAAAGAGACCGGAAGUUGCUCUCUAAUUAUGGCGGCCCGAUGACGUAACCUGACAUCUGAUUGUCAGUUCAUGCGGCUUGUCGCUCGUCGGCUUACCGAUAUAUCCUCAUCUGGCCUGAUGAAAACAAGCUUGCCGUCGGACCUUCAGCGCCCGAUAGCUCGGCGACAACUGCUGUGUUGUCGCUGUCAUCAUCUCCGUCAUCAAACAGCGCCGAAGCUCUCCACUGACUCACCUUGGAGUUUACACUUGAGGAGCAUGUGAAAUAGGUGCAGCAGACAGCGCGACAUUUCUGAGGAGCCACCGGCAUCUCAUGGACAUGUACCAGACACGUGUGACCAGCGGGACGUGGCUGAGCUGACUCCGCAAGAAUGUUCUGGAGCAUGGCGAGGAGGUCUGAUGCACCAAACACCUGGUGUCAUUGAGACAAACUGUCAGUGUCUUGACGAUAUGCGACUGGCAUGAAAGAAGUGUGGAUUUUUUUUUUUAAUUGGGGAGGGGGAGUGGUGUCCGAGCUUAACUUUUUGCUCUAAUUUAAUGUCAGUAGUUACAGGGCAGCUGGGAAUAGGUUUUCCCGUUUUCCCUUCUGUUAAAACGCAAAACAGUACCGAGGCCAGUCCCAGACAGGGAUAGAACUUUGUUUCCUUUGGAGAGAGAAGUCAUUGAAUGCGUAACACGUGUGUGUGUGUGUGCACGUGCGCUGUUUCCUUAUUUUAUCUCCUAGUUUUGUGUGCAGCCAAACACAGCAGAUGCUAAACACAUGCAUGGCAUUAACUAUUAUCGUGUAAUGCAGAGCCUAGCGCUGCAGUAGAUCUGACAUUCAUCCCAAUAGUCCUGAGACUUUUUCUGGUCCCAAAGAGAUUCCGAUUCCCCCCACACACACACACAGCGCUUCCUGUCUCAGCUACUUGACUAGAUAGCUUCGUCCUUUACCGUACAAUUUUCAUUCUCUUUACUCUUUGUUUAUAUAUAUAUUUGCAGUCAGAGCCAUCACACACCUGCCACAUGCUACACAUUCUCGCCUGACCACCAUCAUCGCCACCACAUCAGAUUCUAAUCUUUCAGCAGAUUAAAACUGCUCCAGAUGCUUACCUGUCACUCACAUAUUGAUGCUGGCCCGCAGCCACUGGCCCUAGGUUUGCCGUCCGAGGUGCUUCUCUCCCGCAUUAUUCAUACUCAAUUUGAGGAAACUUUUUUUUCUCAUAACCUCAUGUGAUGACAUACUACAAUUAUUUCUGGGAAGUUGCCCACAGCGCCGUAACUAUUAGUUCAUGCGAUGAGGUUUAAAAAUAUUUGCCGAUCGACUGGAAAUAACCCCGAGAGAUUCAAGCAGCAGGUUAUUAAAAAGAGUAGGACGCAGGGUUCGAAGCGUUUUCCAUUUCGCACAGUUAAUAUUUUUGUCAUGCAGUUCGACAUGUCACUGGAAGUCAUAGAAGUUUAAAAGGCGAACUCUUUUCUCUAACGAAAGCCAAACAGCAAAGAGAAAAGUCGCCAUCGAACUGCUACCAAUCUAAUACAAAGGCGUGAUCGCUGGACAUUUUCUUCGGCCUUGAAGACACUGGUAGGUACAGAGAGAGAGAGUGUGUGUGAAGGAGAAAGAGAAUGACCAACGUGAAAAAACACUGUUUGUUCUAGAUAUUAAGUUUACAACUAAGCUUGCUUUCGGAGCAUAGAAGCGCCGUGCUGUAGUUGCGUUGCAGACGAAGAAAGCCAUGAAGUCUUGGUGACCAAGCAGACCGAAUAGAUUCUGAAAAGAAUACAUUUUUAACACUUACAUAAAAUCUUAUUUCCCAGAACAAAGGUUUUUUAAAGGCUGUGUCAGGCUACAGUGCGUGUCGAGAUAUGGAACAGUAGGCAAAGCCCAUAAAAACCAUGAUGUUAGGAAUUUGUUGCAUGGAUCGUGUGAAGCUUCUCUCUGUUGAAUUCACUGAGAGGAAACUGUGUGUGGUUUAUAUUAACUUAGAAAGUUAAAGUUCGUGCAUCACGUCCUCUUCCAACGGAGUUUCUCACUCCAGUAAAACUGUAUUCCUCCUACUUCAAGUUCUAGUUCAAAUAAAAUAUUAUUAAAGUUAGUAUCACCUUUGCCCCAUCCCCACCCUAUCAUCUCUACAUUUGUUGGAGAAGCAGAGGCGGAGCAAGAGAAAGAUGAUUGACGGGCCCAUGCUUAACGAACACCGAUCUUAGUUUAGGGACUAGCAUCUUGUCACUGGGAGCUGAUUGCCUGGAACGUUCUGGCAGGUGACACUGUAUAUAAACCGGACGGACUGCGGCGCGUCUUGGAAUGCGGCGAGGUGAUCCUCCGGCACAGAGCUACGACUGCCGUCCAGCACACGCAGAGUACAAAGGACGUUUGUCUGCUGCUGCUACUGCUGUUGUUGUUGUUGCUGCUGCUGCUGCUGCUGCUGCUUCUUCGACUUUGCCGACGUUAGAGUGAAGAUCUCGCCGCACUCGCCUCGCCAUUGCCGACUGGUGCAUCUGAUCGUCCUCGUUGGCUUGCCGGAUCUUCACGCUUGCUGCUGUCCGUAUUCGUAGACCGUGUUCCUCCAGAAGAGUCGCUGGGUCACAGCUUGGGUCCAGGUUCAGGCAGUUUCUCAAACAGCUCGAGCCAGGGAACGUUAGUUUGCGACCAUGUCGUUCGGAAUGGAUGACGUCGUGAUGAGCAUUUACUUGCCCUACAUCGAAGGAGCACCUUUGCCCAGGCCCCCGACUUCCAGAAUCUUUGGCCGACGCUGAAGCCGCCCCGCAUCUCUUUUCAAACGGGCCUCGCGUAUGUGCUUGGACUCAACCACAAAGAGACAUAACCCUAAAGAAAUUUUGUCUGUACAAUGAUUAACAACGUGCAGUCUUCGUCCCUCCCCCCGCCAUUCCCUGCCACCCCAUAAGCUCUUUGUGAAACCUCGAUAUUUCUUGUUCGCUGGGAAGUUCUUGCCACCACUAGGGUGUGAUUUAAUUGCUUUCUGAAACAAAGAAAAAGAAAUCACUUCCUGAAGGAUUAUGGAUUGUUUGAAAUGUUCGCAUCACGAUCUUUCGCUAACUUCAUCUCUUUAAAGAAAAUCAGUUUCCGUUGAAGACGUGUGGGAACACCGUUGCCGUUGACGACGGGAUGAGGGGGGAGGUCAAAGGGAUGUGGCAUCAUGAACAGUGAGCGGAUGUAAGAAACUUUUUUUUUUUUUUUUUGAUGAUAAAGCGUUGUGUUAUCUGACCAGCUUGACAUCACCAACAGUAAGUUAAGAAAAAACAAACUUGAUGGUUUCGUGUCAUAGAAUUGGAAAUGAGUGCAGAGACUUCGCCUUGCUUUUCAAUAUUUAUGGAGGCGGGAGAUGGAGUGCUCGGAAAUUCCUCCAGCUUAUCCCUAGGGAAGCUUAAAAUAGCCCGGUUUAGAUCAUCGCCUGUUAUCAGUCUUAAUCCCAGUUUCGUCGAUUUCCUCCCGCCUACCCACAGUCACUCGUCCUUUCAUCCCCACAACCCCUCCCUCACCCCUAAGGGCGCCCCUUCUAUUCUGUGUGCGACAUGUAUUUUGGAUUCAAAUGAACGCGCAGUUCCACUAGUUUCCUAGAGUCACACCGUGCACUCACUCUAAUGGAUAGGCGAAAGACCCGUUGGUUCAGAUGAGGUCACACAUUCCAGAAUAGGAGUCAGCUGCAACUUUCAAGUGAAGUGACACGUUACAACCGGUUGAGUCCUCCAGACUUCUGAUCGUUUGACACUUGCACGCGCGAAGAGAAAUGAGGGUGGGGGAAGAGGGGGGAGUGACGGUGAUGAGAGAGGACUCUGAACUGCAAUGGAGACAGAUGCUGGAGGUGAGAAGAAGAAACUACAAUGGUACGAGAUGAACAGUAUGGACAGUGGGAGUACUGUUCAUUUUGUUUCAGUCGUUCAAAACUGUCAUGAACAAAUAACUUAUUAUUUUUUAAAUAUAUUUUUUCUUUGUUCAAAAAUUUUCAUCUCCUUAUAUUUUCUAACAUACGUUCGAAUUCGAACAUAUUUUCUCUGUUAAUAUUUUAAAACUUUGUCUGAUAUUCUUAUUUAAAAUACUUAAAAAAAUGUUGUUUCUGUAAAAAUAUUUAUUGAAAGAUGGAAAAUGAAAAAGUUGACCAUUUUUCCUUUUUCUCUGCUGAAAUCUUCGCCUGUUCCUUGUCAUUUUUUUUUAGUUGUUUGGUUUAAAUGUAAAUUUAAACUCUGCCUACAAUACUAUUUACGUUUUGUACAUAGAAGACAUACAAUUUAUUUUGUCUGAAUCUAGCAAAACCAUCACAUUUAAUAUUCCAGGUGAUAGAUGUUCACAGUUUGGUUUAGAGCCCUUUAUCCCCUCUGGCCGAAGUUUGUUAAUUGUCAGAGGAGUAAUUGUCAGUGAAGGUCUGCACUGUUGUGUUGGUGCAUUAAUGUCGACAAUUGUCGUUGACCGGAAAGAUUGACAGUAAAGCACUCAUUAUUUUGUUGAACUUAGAAAAAUGUCAAUGUUAUACGGUGUAUGGUCUAGGUGUCAAACUUCUCUGCUACAUUUUCUUUGGUGUUCAAGAGGUUUUCUUGUCCGCAGCACUGAUAUCCCAGAAGGCACCAUCAAUGCCCCUAGACGUACGUGCGUCCACGAACUAAUUAUCCUUGGUGCGUCUACUUACUGUCAGCUGACAAUAUUGUCAUCGAAAUCCACUAAACCACCUUUCUUGAAUGAAUCAAACGAUGGCAUCCGUUUUAUUCGGCAGAAAGGUUGCUGUUGGUAGUAAGAUAAAAUACGGCCUCGGGAAGCACUUGGUUACACACAAAAAACAACCCUAAAUUAAAAUAAGGUAUCGUGAAAUAAAUUAUCUUAAAGCCAUUAUACCAUUAUGGGGGAAAAAAACCAAGAAACAAACAGUAAAACGAUUUUUUUUAAAAAACCCAUCGGAAUAAGUAAGGUCAAAAGAAAGCUAAACUAAAAUUAUGGUGCACGACGAAAGAAGUUUGGGUGAAUAGGAAAAGCAAAUGACAAUAAAUUCUACAUACAAACCUUUCUUGGAAGAUUUUCUAGUUAAAAAAGAUUUUUCGUGGAACAAGAUUUUUUUCACGUUGAUUUCUGGCAACAUUAUGCAAAUAAAAAAAUAAAAAA
This is a long non-coding RNA of Pomacea canaliculata, 5462 nucleotides long. RefSeq lists it as uncharacterized. The record is from RefSeq and is a predicted model, not a curated record. The transcript has 2 exons. Lineage: Eukaryota; Metazoa; Mollusca; Gastropoda; Architaenioglossa; Ampullariidae.